Long non-coding RNA from Puntigrus tetrazona (Sumatra barb), 438 nucleotides. RefSeq lists it as uncharacterized. The transcript has 5 exons. Lineage: Eukaryota; Metazoa; Chordata; Actinopteri; Cypriniformes; Cyprinidae. The record is from RefSeq and is a predicted model, not a curated record.
GAGUUAUUUGUUUGUAUGUAGUUGGCAGAAAUGAGAGGAUCACGUGUGGGAUUCGAGAACUAUACGUUUUGACCUGUGGAGGGCAGUACGCCUAGUAGCGUAUACACGCGUAGAUCCUCAAGAAGAAGACUAGUACAUAUAGCACGAGGCGAAAACGGACGUCCUUUCUGUUCUGAAGCAGCGGUGGAUACACGUGUGUUCAGAAAAAGCGGCUAUUUGCUGGUGUUUUCCGAGGGAUUCGCACAUUUUAUGGUGUUUUCCGAGGGAUUCGCACUUUUUAUGGUGUUUUCCGAGGGAUUCGCACAUUUUUAUGAUUACGCUAAAGGAGCUUUGGACCGCUUUAUCCUUAACCUUCAAGCUUGAACUGCUAUGUCCUAUGCAUUGUUUGCUUAAGUGUAUUAUUGUAGUUUAAGUCUUAUUAAAAGUUUUGUUCAAAUG